This is a small nucleolar RNA of Melopsittacus undulatus (budgerigar), 143 nucleotides long. NCBI's taxonomy places the organism in Eukaryota, Metazoa, Chordata, Aves, Psittaciformes, Psittaculidae. The record is from Ensembl.
GGGCGGCCCUAUCGAAGCCGCGUCUGCCUCGGUGCUGUGGCAGGCGCGGUCAAAAAGGAGCCGAGAGCGAAGGGCUUUCCUCGACGGUCGCCGCUCCGUUGAACCCGUGUAACCGAGCGGCAACAUGGCAGGAAAGCACAGGG